RNAcentral lists this ribosomal RNA (433 nucleotides) under uncultured bacterium. Its description in RNAcentral is "partial 16S ribosomal RNA". It matches the Rfam family "Bacterial small subunit ribosomal RNA", at positions 29 to 507 of the family's 1533-position model. The record is from RNAcentral.
AACGAACGCUGGCGGCAUGCCUAACACAUGCAAGUCGAACGAGACCUUCGGGUCUAGUGGCGCACGGGUGCGUAACGCGUGGGAACCUGCCCUUAGGUUCGGAAUAACUCCCCGAAAGGGGUGCUAAUACCGGAUAAUGUCUUCGGACCAAAGAUUUAUCGCCUUUGGAUGGGCCCGCGUUGGAUUAGCUAGUUGGUAGGGUAAAAGCCUACCAAGGCGACGAUCCAUAGCUGGUCUGAGAGGAUGAUCAGCCACACUGGGACUGAGACACGGCCCAGACUCCUACGGGAAGCAGCAGUGGGGAAUAUUGGACAAUGGGCGAAAGCCUGAUCCAGCAAUGCCGCGUGAGUGAUGAAGGCCUUAGGGUUGUAAAGCUCUUUUACCUGGGAUGAUAAUGACAGUACCGGGAGAAUAAGCUCCGGCCAACUCCGUG